This 413-nucleotide ribosomal RNA is filed under the name Chlorella variabilis. RNAcentral describes it as "bacterial SSU rRNA". It matches the Rfam family "Bacterial small subunit ribosomal RNA", at positions 505 to 916 of the family's 1533-position model. The record is from RNAcentral. Lineage: Eukaryota; Viridiplantae; Chlorophyta; Trebouxiophyceae; Chlorellales; Chlorellaceae.
GUGCCAGCAGCCGCGGUAAGACAGAGGAUGCAAGCGUUAUCCGGAAUGAUUGGGCGUAAAGCGUCUGUAGGUGGCUUAAAAAGUCUCCUGUCAAAGAUCAGGGCUUAACCCUGGGCCGGCAGGAGAAACUCUUAGGCUAGAGUUUGGUAGGGGCAGAGGGAAUUCCCGGUGGAGCGGUGAAAUGCGUAGAGAUCGGGAGGAACACCAAAGGCGAAAGCACUUUGCUGGGCCACAACUGACACUGAGAGACGAAAGCGAGGGGAGCAAAAGGGAUUAGAUACCCCUGUAGUCCUCGCCGUAAACGAUGGAUACUAGAUGUUGGAUAGGUUAAAGCAUUCAGUAUCGUAGCUAACGCGUGAAGUAUCCCGCCUGGGGAGUAUGCUCGCAAGAGUGAAACUCAAAGGAAUUGACGG